Molecule: ribosomal RNA, 496 nt
Filed under: uncultured bacterium
Lineage: Bacteria
Description: partial 16S ribosomal RNA
Rfam family: Bacterial small subunit ribosomal RNA
Source: RNAcentral
GAUGAACGCUGGCGGCGUGCCUAAUACAUGCAAGUCGAGCGAACAGAUGAGGAGCUUGCUCCUCUGACGUUAGCGGCGGACGGGUGAGUAACACGUGGAUAACCUACCUAUAAGACUGGGAUAACUUCGGGAAACCGGAGCUAAUACCGGAUAAUAUAUUGAACCGCAUGGUUCAAUAGUGAAAGACGGUUUUGCUGUCACUUAUAGAUGGAUCCGCGCCGCAUUAGCCAGUUGGUAAGGUAACGGCUUACCAAGGCAACGAUGCGUAGCCGACCUGAGAGGGUGAUCGGCCACACUGGAACUGAGACACGGUCCAGACUCCUACGGGAGGCAGCAGUAGGGAAUCUUCCGCAAUGGGCGAAAGCCUGACGGAGCAACGCCGCGUGAGUGAUGAAGGUCUUCGGAUCGUAAAACUCUGUUAUUAGGGAAGAACAAAUGUGUAAGUAACUAUGCACGUCUUGACGGUACCUAAGCAGAAAGCCACGGCUAACUACGU